CAUCAUAUCUGCAUUCCGGCCUCUGCGUUUGGGUCCACUCCUGCUUCCCCGAGUCUGACAUAUGGCUUACUAUCAUCAUCAUCUUUAGCAUGAGAUGUCAGCAAUAAGGCCACAGAGAGUGAAGAUUAAACCUAAAGAAGAGGCAGCAUAUUUUUCAUCCUUGGGCAAGGACAAGGAUGGAUUCAAUAUAAAAUAUAUUAAUUCAUUUAAAGGUCGAGGAGUGUUCAGUUGCCGCCACUUUCAGAAGGGAGACUUUCUUAUUGAAUAUUGAUUGGAAAUCAAACAGGAACAUGAAAACAGGCUAAGACUGUACCACGAUGCCCUGAAGGUUUUCAUGUUUGAAUUUCUCUACAAUGGGAAAAAACUAUGUAUUGAUGCAGCCAGAGAGGAUGACUCCCUAGGGAGACUCGUCAACGAUGAUCAUGUAAGCCCAAACUGCAGAACGAGGAUCAUCACUGUGGAUAGAAAGCCUCAUCUCUGUUUAUUUGCAAUCAAGGACAUCAGGCCAGGGGAAGAGAUAACCUACAACUAUGGAGAUUCGGACUGGCCAUGGAGAUUAAAGGUUUCAACUGAAGCACAUCCUCACCAUGCAGCCUGGGCAUCUGACUGCACCAAAGAUGUUGAACAGGUGGCUUCAUUUAUAUUGAAUGUUGAUGUUAGAUUUCUUUCAUUAGCACAACAGUUUUGACUGGAAGUUGAAAGGAGGGUAUAGAUACACAGUCCUCAGUGUGUCUACAAUGGUCAGGUAUAGACACUCUGAGGACCGUGUAUUUGGACACUGUCAGUGACAUUAUUGAGAAAUGUGUUUUAAGAGCUAAGUGUUACAGAUACAUAGUCCUCAGUGUGUAUGUUCUGUUCAGGUAUAGACACUCUGAGGUCUCUAUAUGUGCACU
Long non-coding RNA from Thunnus maccoyii (southern bluefin tuna), 893 nucleotides. RefSeq lists it as uncharacterized. The transcript has 5 exons. The record is from RefSeq and is a predicted model, not a curated record. Lineage: Eukaryota; Metazoa; Chordata; Actinopteri; Scombriformes; Scombridae.